CCUACGGGAGGCAGCAGUAGGGAAUCUUCCACAAUGGACGCAAGUCUGAUGGAGCAACGCCGCGUGAGUGAAGAAGGGUUUCGGCUCGUAAAGCUCUGUUGUUAAAGAAGAACGUGGGUGAGAGUAACUGUUCACCCAUUGACGGUAUUUAACCAGAAAGCCACGGCUAACUACGUGCCAGCAGCCGCGGUAAUACGUAGGUGGCAAGCGUUAUCCGGAUUUAUUGGGCGUAAAGCGAGCGCAGGCGGUUUUUUAAGUCUGAUGUGAAAGCCUUCGGCUCAACCGAAGAAGUGCAUUGGAAACUGGGAGACUUGAGUGCAGAAGAGGACAGUGGAACUCCAUGUGUAGCGGUGAAAUGCGUAGAUAUAUGGAAGAACACCAGUGGCGAAGGCGGCUGUCUGGUCUGUAACUGACGCUGAGGCUCGAAAGCAUGGGUAGCGAACAGGAUUAGAUACCCUGGUAGUCCAUGCCGUAAACGAUGAUUGCUAAGUGUUGGAGGGUUUCCGCCCUUCAGUGCUGCAGCUAACGCAUUAAGUAUUCCGCCUGGGGAGUACGGCCGCAAGGUUGAAACUCAAAGGAAUUGACGG
Molecule: ribosomal RNA, 587 nt
Filed under: bacterium BWS1C
Lineage: Bacteria
Description: bacterial SSU rRNA
Rfam family: Bacterial small subunit ribosomal RNA
Source: RNAcentral